AGAUGGGAGCUUGCUCCCUGAUGUUAGCGGCGGACGGGUGAGUAACACGUGGGUAACCUGCCUGUAAGACUGGGAUAACUCCGGGAAACCGGGGCUAAUACCGGAUGCUUGUUUGAACCGCAUGGUUCAGACAUAAAAGGUGGCUUCGGCUACCACUUACAGAUGGACCCGCGGCGCAUUAGCUAGUUGGUGAGGUAACGGCUCACCAAGGCAACGAUGCGUAGCCGACCUGAGAGGGUGAUCGGCCACACUGGGACUGAGACACGGCCCAGACUCCUACGGGAGGCAGCAGUAGGGAAUCUUCCGCAAUGGACGAAAGUCUGACGGAGCAACGCCGCGUGAGUGAUGAAGGUUUUCGGAUCGUAAAGCUCUGUUGUUAGGGAAGAACAAGUGCCGUUCAAAUAGGGCGGCACCUUGACGGUACCUAACCAGAAAGCCACGGCUAACUACGUGCCAGCAGCCGCGGUAAUACGUAGGUGGCAAGCGUUGUCCGGAAUUAUUGGGCGUAAAGGGCUCGCAGGCGGUUUCUUAAGUCUGAUGUGAAAGCCCCCGGCUCAACCGGGGAGGGUCAUUGGAAACUGGGGAACUUGAGUGCAGAAGAGGAGAGUGGAAUUCCACGUGUAGCGGUGAAAUGCGUAGAGAUGUGGAGGAACACCAGUGGCGAAGGCGACUCUCUGGUCUGUAACUGACGCUGAGGAGCGAAAGCGUGGGGAGCGAACAGGAUUAGAUACCCUGGUAGUCCACGCCGUAAACGAUGAGUGCUAAGUGUUAGGGGGUUUCCGCCCCUUAGUGCUGCAGCUAACGCAUUAAGCACUCCGCCUGGGGAGUACGGUCGCAAGACUGAAACUCAAAGGAAUUGACGGGGGCCCGCACAAGCGGUGGAGCAUGUGGUUUAAUUCGAAGCAACGCGAAGAACCUUACCAGGUCUUGACAUCCUCUGACAAUCCUAGAGAUAGGACGUCCCCUUCGGGGGCAGAGUGACAGGUGGUGCAUGGUUGUCGUCAGCUCGUGUCGUGAGAUGUUGGGUUAAGUCCCGCAACGAGCGCAACCCUUGAUCUUAGUUGCCAGCAUUCAGUUGGGCACUCUAAGGUGACUGCCGGUGACAAACCGGAGGAAGGUGGGGAUGACGUCAAAUCAUCAUGCCCCUUAUGACCUGGGCUACACACGUGCUACAAUGGACAGAACAAAGGGCAGCGAAACCGCGAGGUUAAGCCAAUCCCACAAAUCUGUUCUCAGUUCGGAUCGCAGUCUGCAACUCGACUGCGUGAAGCUGGAAUCGCUAGUAAUCGCGGAUCAGCAU
RNAcentral lists this ribosomal RNA (1300 nucleotides) under Bacillus amyloliquefaciens. RNAcentral describes it as "bacterial SSU rRNA". It matches the Rfam family "Bacterial small subunit ribosomal RNA", at positions 70 to 1355 of the family's 1533-position model. The record is from RNAcentral. Lineage: Bacteria; Bacillati; Bacillota; Bacilli; Caryophanales; Bacillaceae.